Molecule: ribosomal RNA, 373 nt
Filed under: uncultured bacterium
Lineage: Bacteria
Description: bacterial SSU rRNA
Rfam family: Bacterial small subunit ribosomal RNA
Source: RNAcentral
AAUACGUAGGGGGCGAGCGUUGCCCGGAUUUACUGGGCGUAAAGCGCACGUAGGCGGCAGUUUAAGUCUGGUGUGAAAUCUCACGGCUCAACCGUGAGGCUGCACCAGAUACUGCGGCGCUCGAGGGCAGGAGAGGGGAUUGGAAUUCCCGGUGUAGCGGUGAAAUGCAUUGAUAUCGGGAGGAACACCAGUGGCGAAGGCGGAUCCCUGGCCUGCUACUGACGCUGAGGUGCGAAAGCUGGGGGAGCGAAAGGGAUUAGAUACCCCUGUAGUCCCAGCCCUAAACGAUGGGUGCUAGGUGUUGGGGGGAUUACCCCUCAGUGGUUUAGCUAACGCAUUAAGCACCGUUUCUGGGGAGUACGGGUUUAAGGCU